Molecule: long non-coding RNA, 4391 nt
Filed under: Brassica napus (rape)
Lineage: Eukaryota; Viridiplantae; Streptophyta; Magnoliopsida; Brassicales; Brassicaceae
Description: long non-coding RNA (BNAP_LNC019336)
Source: RNAcentral
CACCGUAUAAAUUAUAUGAUUUUAUAAUGAGUAUCUAUGAAAUAUUUGCCUGAAGAGUCCAAAGAUGGCUUGAAACGCGCCAGCAAAAAAUGUGGCCGUGAAGACAAUUUUUCGGUAAGCAAUUGGGUCGGUGACAGGAUCUUGAAGGUCACGGACCAUGGACGAAAGCAGAAGCGAAACUACAGCCACAGGACCAAUGGCUAACUCUCUCGAACUUCCCAUCAUGGAAUAUAUUAGAGGUGGUACCACACUUGUAUCUGGUAUAUAUAUUUUUAAAUCGAAUUUAAUUAUGCAAAUUUUUUUAAAAGAAACUAUGCAAGUUUGAGUUGAAAAUUUGGACUUACAUAGACCGUACUCUGGAUCAAGUCCAGCCAAGUUAGCAUAUCCUAUACUCUGCACAUAAAAUUGAAAAUGUAUGGAAGAAAUCAUCACUGAGGAUAUUGACAAUAGAAUUUGCGAGUUAAAUUACCUGAGGAAUGCAAAGACUAGCGAGAGUAAGACCAGCCAUCAAAUCUUUCUUGAACAUGUUGAGUUUGUAUUGUCUUCCCCAUAUAAGUAUAGGGAAAACCGAUUUAAGAUAAGAGUAAACCUGGUUUGAUGGUUUCUUCUUCAUCUUGUUCCUCUUCUUGGACAACACAUUUGUUCUUAUGUACCCAACAAACUCUUGCCACAUGGUUGGUGGCUCCGGCAUAUUUAUCAGCCACUGGGACAACGGCUCUUCUGCGGGGGCGGCUUCCGCCUGGUGGCUCUGCAUCUCUAUGCUCAUUUUGGUUAUCGUUGUGGGUCUCUGAAGUGUGUGAUAGAGAACUAACUUUGUUUUCCAUAUAUAUAGGCAUAUAUAUAAACAAAUUUAUUCAAACAUAUAGUAUAUACAUAUAAUCCAUAUUAAACUCAAUUUCCAACGUAUGUCCUAUUUCUGAAAUAUGCCGCACCUGCAUUCUUUAAUAAUUGUAACUUUAUAGUAAACUAAAUAAAACACCCAUUUUAAAUUAUACUUAAUAAAAUACCACAAAUCAAAAUUUGUAGAAUAUCAAAUUCGUAAUAUUCAUUAGUGAAACUAUAUGUAGUGCUGGGAUGAUUUUUAAGCAACUAAAUCGAUCGACACAUAGGUUCAUUUGUCGGCACCACGGCGGAGCAAGUAGAUGAAAUGUUUGAUUUCAAAACACUAAAAAGGGAUGAGCCGCAGUGGCUCCAUCCCUAGAAUAAUGCUUCUGAAAACUGAAUUUGUGAGUUUACUUCCAUGCAAUUCUUUUAUAAGUAAACCACAUUUGGCCAUCCAAAGUGGACAAUGCGUCUAACACAUUUGAAUGAACUACUUCAACAGCGCAAACCGCGAAUGAGUUCCAGCCAAAAUGAGUUAGAUGUAUGGUAUAGCAUUAACGUUAUUUAUCUUCCUAUCAGUUACCAAAAUCCGUCCGAAUAAUAUUUGUUUUAUUCAGCGUUAUGGAUAGAGACCUGUGAGUAACACAUCGGCUUUUAUCCGAUUAUAUAUUUCUUUUAUAGCAUAUAAAAAUUAACAUACCAACAAGAAGGCAUGUUACAAAUACAUGGUAAAUUUGUCGGAAUAUAUCACGGUCGUGCAUAGUUUAGAGAAUAUUAAUCAUGUGAAAGAUAAGUACCACCUUCUUGUGACCAUUUUUGACAUCGUAAUCACAAAUCAAACAAAAAAUCAAGAUUUUGUAUAUUUUUAUUCUAAUGUGUAAAAUUUAUUAAAUAAAAGAUUGGUAUUACAUCAAAUCGACUUGCUUAAAAAAUAGAAAAUGCAUGACUAAUAUAUGACACUGGAUUUAAAUUCAAUACUAUCAAUAUUAUUAACUGAAGUUGAUUGACUACCGGCUAAUUCACGCUGGUUCAUAAUUUUUUAAGAACCUCUGGUUCAGAUGUGACAAGGGUAAGAGUGUGUGGCUUAGACCCAGUGGCGGAGCCAGGAUCAAUUUACACUGGGAUCAAAAUUUAUUAUUAAAUAGGGUCAAAAUAAUUUUUCUUUAACAAAAACAAAAAAAAAAUUAUAAAAUAGUGGGGUCAGCUGACCCCACUCCCCAUACACUCCCUCCGCCCCUGCUUAGACCACUAGACUAAUGACAAAAUAAUCCAACGGUAGUAAAACUCGUAUAAAAAGACACAUCAAGGACACAACAUGAAUUACCAUAAUUAUUUUCUUAAGAAUAUAUGAUCAACGUUUGACGUAUGAACGCAACAUAGAUACAAUCAUUCUGUUAUAACAUACCAAAACGUUAGAGGGUCAGAUAAUUGCAUAUAUAUUGAAAUUAAUUACCAGAAUAUACUUGUGGAAGAAAAGUUAUUAGUAUAUACUUUAUAACAAUAUUUCCGAAAUUAACAUCCAAAUUAUUAAUUGACAUCUACAUUUAACAUGUAUACUCAUGAUAGUUUUUUUUUGGUAAAAUACUCGUGAUAGUUAACAUACGAAUUCUGAUCCAAAACGAAUAUUUUAAGUGGAGGUGUACGAGUUGCCAAAUAAAACAAAAAUGUUCUGAUGGAGAAAGAAGGCACUAUACCAUAGUUGAUCUUGAGGGGGGAAUUCAAACAUAAAAUAUCAUUUUUAACUUUUAAUUAAUGUUAAUUUAAAUUUGUAAUUUUUAUAAGAAAAAAGUUUUACUGCUAUCUUUUAGUAUUUCUAUUUAGUUUACCGUCUAAGAUUUUUUUUUUGUUUUCUACCGUCCAAGAUUUUGGCGGGUAAAAAGUAAAAGAAAAAUCAAAAAUAGCUAAAGAGAAAGACUCACGGCGAGGAGAAGACCGAUCUCUACGGAGGCAAACAGGACACCUAAGAAGGCGGCCACAAGGACGAGAAAAUCAAGCUUAUCAAGCUUCCAAAUGUGCAAAGCGCCAGAAAUAUCGAUAAGGCCAGGAAGCGCCGAGAGAAUGAUGGAGGCCAGUAUUGCGGUCGGUGUAAAAUAGAGAAACCUUGUCAAAACUUCAAGCGAAACCAUCACUGUUAUCGCCAUUACAAUGUUUGAUACCACCGUCUCGCAGCCAGCACUAAAAUUCACCGCCGUUCUUGAAAAUGAUCCUAUUAGAAAGUCCACAUGGGAAGUGGAAGAUAAAUAGAUGAACCAAUAUGCUUAAUAUGAGUUACAAUUCUUGAUUCGACAGUUUUAAAAUAUCACAUCGGUCAAUUCCGGUUUUGGUUUGAAUUAAUAAACCGGGGUUAAUUUAAAAAAGAACAUUUUACCGGUAGCUACAUAGCAAGAAGUUAAAGAGCCAGCGAUGUUGCUAAACCCCAUUGCCAUCAUCUCUUUGUUACCAUCUAGACGAUAUCCUUUGAUCGUUGCAAAAGAUCUCCCUACUGCAAUCGCCUCCUGUAUUAUUACAUUUAAUUUAAUCAAUUAGUUAAAUUAGGUGAUUAGUCUGAACCAUGUGUCAGAGAGAAGAGAUGGGAAUAUUACUAACCGUGAGAGCGAUGAUUGCACAAAUGAUACCAAUUUUGGCGACUUGACCGAGAUGUGGACCGUUAAAUUCCAAUUGGUUAACCGAAGGUCGGUUAAACCCUGGUUUAAUGGUUUUAACAAUCUUAACCCCUCGUGUGUCAGCAUUGGUUAAAUACACGAUUAGGGUUGCUAAUAUCACUGAUAUUAGCGGUGCCAUCGCUGGAAUCCAGAACAACUUUUUGUUUCUUUUUCCCUGAAUUAAUUUAUAAAAAAAAUCAAUAAAAAUAAAUUAAAUAUAACUAUUGUCAUAUGUUGAUAUUAAUGUAGUAAAUUUUGUUUUACUUACAAGAAAUCUCGCUAGGAGGAUGAAGAUAAGGAAUGAACUACCAAUGACAAAGUUCAAAGGUUGCCACUGCAAAAGUAAUUAAUAGUUGAAAUAGAUUCUAUAUUUGUGACUUUUAAUUUAGCCCAACUACCGGUACGUACCGGAUGAUGAAGUGAGUGGAAAACCGAAGAUAAAACCGAAAUCACAUCGGUUUUGUUGGUAAAGUGAGACAAACCAAAUAAACCUUUCAGUUGUUGUAAACCAAUGACAAUGGCAGCACCAGCCAUGAACCCAACAAGAGCAGCAUGUGACAGAAAAUCCACCAAAAACCCUAACCUGAUACACAUUUAGAAUAACAUUUAUUUUGAUCAGUUGACUACACUUUUGUCUUCGCGGGUCCACAUACAAUUAGAAUAACUGUAGCACCGUAUAAAUUAUAUGAUUUUAUAAUGAGUAUCUAUGAAAUAUUUGCCUGAAGAGUCCAAAGAUGGCUUGAAACGCGCCAGCAAAAAAUGUGGCCGUGAAGACAAUUUUUCGGUAAGCAAUUGGGUCGGUGACAGGAUCUUGAAGGUCACGGACCAUGGACGAAAGCAGAAGCGAAACUACAGCCACAGGACCAAUGGCUAACUCUCUCGAACUUCCCAUCAUGGAAUAUAUUAGAGGUGGUACCACACUUGUAU